This 585-nucleotide ribosomal RNA is filed under the name uncultured bacterium. RNAcentral's name for it is "partial 16S ribosomal RNA". It matches the Rfam family "Bacterial small subunit ribosomal RNA", at positions 355 to 1375 of the family's 1533-position model. The record is from RNAcentral.
UGGGGAAUUUUGGACAAUGGGCGAAAGCCUGAUCCAGCAAUGCCGCGUGUGUGAAGAAGGCCUUCGGGUUGUAAAGCACUUUUGUCCGGAAAGAAAUCCUUGGCUCUAAUACAGUCGGGGGAUGACGGUACCGGAAGAAUAAGCACCGGCUAACUACGUGCCAGCAGCCGCGGUAAUACGUAGGGUGCAAGCGUUAAUCGGAAUUACUGGGCGUAAAGCGUGCGCAGGCGGUUUGCUAAGACCGAUGUGAAAUCCCCGGGCUCAACCUGGGAACUGCAUUGGUGACUGGCAGGCUAGAGUAUGGCAGAGGGGGGUAGAAUUCCACGUGUAGCAGUGAAAUGCGUAGAGAUGUGGAGGAAUACCGAUGGCGAAGGCAGCCCCCUGGGCCAAUACUGACGCUCAUGCACGAAAGCGUGGGGAGCAAACAGGAUUAGACACCCUGGUAGUCCACGCCCUAAACGAUGUCAACUAGUUGUUGGGGAUUCAUUUCCUUAGUAACGUAGCUAACGCGUGAAGUUGACCGCCUGGGGAGUACGGUCGCAAGAUUAAAACUCAAAUGAAUUGACGGGGUCAUAGCUGUUUCCU